Long non-coding RNA from Cucurbita moschata (crookneck pumpkin), 643 nucleotides. RefSeq lists it as uncharacterized. The transcript has 2 exons. The record is from RefSeq and is a predicted model, not a curated record. Lineage: Eukaryota; Viridiplantae; Streptophyta; Magnoliopsida; Cucurbitales; Cucurbitaceae.
UGUAUAUAUAAUCUCUCAUCCCUUCGUCUUCCUUCUAUCCUCCUCCAUCAACAAAAAAGCUGCAAACUUUGGCUCUCUUUUUGCCCUAGUCUUUGUCGUGCGCUUACAACAGUUCAAGCUGCCAGCAUGAUCUAACCUUAAUCUCUCCUAAUUUUCGAUUCUCCUGAGGUUUAAGAUUAGAUCAUAUGGCAGUUUCACCUGUUGCUGGCUCCACGAAGAAUUCAGCCCUAAAUUCAAAUUUCUUGACCAUAUCAGCCGCUUUCUAUCCAUAAUCCUUAAAAAAGGUACGAAAUUUAUGUUCUUUGUCCCUAUUCCUCAUCUGGGUUUGUUGAAUUUUGUUCUGGGUCGCUCUCUUUUUGUGAAUUUCUUUAGGAUUUUGAUGAUUUUAAACAAGAAAAACAAGCAGAUCUCUGAUUUGUGAGGAAUUGGAGUUGGUUUUGUUGGGGGAUUUUCGAGAGAGAUUCAGAGUGAUUAGGGCAUUACAUUGAGGAUGAGAGAGAAAAAGAGGAUAAAUUUGUAAACAUGUGAUCUAUGUUUCUUCGUACUUGGUCGUGUUUUCUGGAUUACCAGUGUGUCUUAUCUAACACCAAACGAUGCAGAGAAGUGAAUAUGAUAACGAUAUUUCAGAACUAAAAUUUCGUCA